This 515-nucleotide ribosomal RNA is filed under the name Lepidosaphes rubrovittata. RNAcentral's name for it is "partial 28S ribosomal RNA". It matches the Rfam family "Eukaryotic large subunit ribosomal RNA", at positions 513 to 919 of the family's 3401-position model. Lineage: Eukaryota; Metazoa; Arthropoda; Insecta; Hemiptera; Diaspididae. The record is from RNAcentral.
UUUCGGCGUGUUAUACGGCAAAGAUGCGAAUCUCUGGCUGACAAUGGACAGUAUGCAAAGGUGGCUGAUGCUGUGUCAUGUGCGCAGUAUUGGUACUGAUCUGCGACGAUCUCUUCGGGCCUCUUUCCGACCCGUCUUGAAACACGGACCAAGGAGUCUAACAUGCGCGCGAGUCGCGGGGUAUCGAGCGUACUACGGUGCGUUCGUUCAUUAUGAAACCCGUAUGUUGAAGGCGUAAUGAAAGUAAAUUGGGAAGAUGGUGUUCCGAGUAUACGUACCGUGAAAUUCGCGGCCGGACAUCCGCAUUCCCGGGGCGUCUCAAUGGCUCAUCGCGAGUGCAGAUUGUCGUCUCUCGGGGUGGCAGUCGGUUUGCGAUGGUCCGAGGCGCACCUAUAGCGUGCACGUUGGUACCCGAAAGAUGGUGAACUAUGCCUGGCCAGGAUGAAGUCAGGGGAAACCCUGAUGGAGGUCCGCAGCGAUUCUGACGUGCAAAUCGAUCGUCUGAGCUGGGUAUA